This is a non-coding RNA of Sus scrofa (pig), 1772 nucleotides long. The record is from RefSeq and is a predicted model, not a curated record. NCBI's taxonomy places the organism in Eukaryota, Metazoa, Chordata, Mammalia, Artiodactyla, Suidae.
UUCUUGUUUGGAGGCUGGACCCAGAGAAACAUGGCUUCAAUCCUGGACAUGCAGCUUUCAAAUCAGCGUGGCAGGGUGUUUCAAGUCUAGAAACCUGAGUUUCAGGGUGUUAAGGUUGUAUGUCUACACUUUCAGGGUGUGAUCUGUGCUUAUGGUUUGAUUCUUUCUCUCCAGAGUUCCCCCAAAGCCUCUGUCUUCCUUCUGUAGCUGAGCUGCUUCAGCCUCUGUGGGACACCCAUUUGAAGGAACCUGUCUAAAUCCAUGUAAGAGAUCUCCUAUUUUUUCCCUCCCACCUGAGACUCUUCCUCCUCUGCCAGACACCUGUUCCAAGGAAGCUCCUGCAACAAGGGUGUGGGCUUGUGUCAUGAAGGUUGAGUAUCCAGGGUGACAGUGAAGAAUCCUACUCCCACCGCAAGAGUGGAUUUAAGUGUUCCUGAGAGGAAGAGGAGUAAGACAUCUUGUUGGCCUGUGCCCCAGAGAUCUCCUCAAGCUUUUCCUUCCCUCCCAACUGAUCCUCUCCCUCCUCAGCCAGACACCUGCUGCAGGGAGGUUACCUAAAACCAGGUAACUUUUACAAAGGCUGGAUGGUCCUUGGUUUCAUGCUGGGUCCCAGGGUUGAAGGGUGCUGACUGAUCAGGGGCUGCUCACAUGACUUACAAAUGGUGUCAAUGAUUUCAGGGUGUGGGGUGAGUUCUGGCUCUGAGAUUGUCAUACCCCAGCCCAUAGUGUACAUCUGUGCACUGAAAGGGAGAAGAGGAAGGAAAUCACACUGGCAGUGCCCCCAGACACUGCAGAGCAGACUUCUGCCGUUGGAGGCUGUCAGGGUUCAGAGUUGCUGUUAGAGCAGCACAUUCUAGUCAAAGGGCUCUAGAGAACCCCGGAGACCCUCCUCUCCUUCAGGCUGAAAUACGUGGUUGCCGAUUGUAUGACGAGACCCCACAGAAAUGCUUGGGGCUGGAAUGGGGUUACAGGGCGCUUCUUAUCAUCUGGCCAAUUUCUUUCACCUCAGGAUAUUGGCAUAAUUCUGCUCUCACAUCUUUGGUUCAAAUUCAGUGUGUUUCUCUGAUAAAUGACCAGAAAUUUGACAGACUCUCUGAGGGGACAAGCAAAUACCUGGCUUGAAUCUCAAAUGUUCAGGUUUCUGAAACCAGGCUGACAUGACACUCUCUCCUCUUGUGUGUUCAGUUUGCUGAGGAAGAGGAAGAGGACAGUCACAUCAGUCUGUGCCCAAGACCAGUGCUUAAAACAUCAAUGUCCAAUCUUUAACACUGUUGUUUCUGGACCCAAAGGUCUGCCUCUGGAGAAACAGGGCCAGCUGACCCAGGGAGCAUGUCACACUCUGGCCCUGGGGCACCAAUUUUUUGUCAUGCCCACCAGAUGCUGAGGGUACAGUUGUGUCCCUUCCCUGAGGUGAGUCCAUUUGGCCAGAGCUGUAGAGGCUCCCUGUUUCCAGCUCCAAACCUAUGAGCAUGUUCUGAGUGUCCCACAGUCCUUCAACUGCAGCUCUGAGCCUGGAGUCUCAGCCAGGCAUCUGCACAGGGGCUCUGCCUGAGCUUGGGUUCAGCCUGGUGACCUUCAGUCUAACACCAUCUCUCAGCCCUUCCACAUGUUUCUCAUCCACCCUAGAAGCUACCUGGGCCUUGGGCCUGGGCAGCUUGAUUUCACGCUGGCCUUGGGCCUGGGUUGCUUGAUUUCAUUUCUCCUCAGCUGUUGAGCCACACGAGUAUCUAGAUACUGGGGUAUUUCCCUCUCACAGCCUCCCUGAGUGCUCA